AGAGUUUGAUCAUGGCUCAGGACGAACGCUGGCGGCGUGCCUAAUACAUGCAAGUCGAACGAACUCUGGUAUUGAUCGGUGCUUGCAUCAUGAUUUACAUUUGAGUGAGUGGCGAACUGGUGAGUAACACGUGGGAAACCUGCCCGGAAGCGGGGGAUAACACCUGGAAACAGAUGCUAAUACCGCAUAACAACUUGGACCGCAUGGUCCGAGCUUGAAAGAUGGCUUCGGCUAUCACUUCUGGAUGGUCCCGCGGCGUAUUAGCUAGAUGGUGAGGUAACGGCUCACCAUGGCAAUGAUACGUAGCCGACCUGAGAGGGUAAUCGGCCACAUUGGGACUGAGACACGGCCCAAACUCCUACGGGAGGCAGCAGUAGGGAAUCUUCCACAAUGGACGAAAGUCUGAUGGAGCAACGCCGCGUGAGUGAAGAAGGGUUUCGGCUCGUAAAACUCUGUUGUUAAAGAAGAACAUAUCUGAGAGUAACUGUUCAGGUAUUGACGGUAUUUAACCAGAAAGCCACGGCUAACUACGUGCCAGCAGCCGCGGUAAUACGUAGGUGGCAAGCGUUGUCCGGAUUUAUUGGGCGUAAAGCGAGCGCAGGCGGUUUUUUAAGUCUGAUGUGAAAGCCUUCGGCUCAACCGAAGAAGUGCAUCGGAAACUGGGAAACUUGAGUGCAGAAGAGGACAGUGGAACUCCAUGUGUAGCGGUGAAAUGCGUAGAUAUAUGGAAGAACACCAGUGGCGAAGGCGGCUGUCUGGUCUGUAACUGACGCUGAGGCUCGAAAGUAUGGGUAGCAAACAGGAUUAGAUACCCUGGUAGUCCAUACCGUAAACGAUGAAUGCUAAGUGUUGGAGGGUUUCCGCCCUUCAGUGCUGCAGCU
Molecule: ribosomal RNA, 881 nt
Filed under: uncultured bacterium
Lineage: Bacteria
Description: bacterial SSU rRNA
Rfam family: Bacterial small subunit ribosomal RNA
Source: RNAcentral